GGUAGGGUGGGUGAGUGGUUAAAACCAGGAGACUGUAAAUCUCCCGCCUUCGGGCUUCGUGUGUUCGAAACACACCCCUACCACCA
This 86-nucleotide transfer RNA is filed under the name Erwinia phage pEa_SNUABM_37. RNAcentral's name for it is "tRNA-Tyr". It matches the Rfam family "tRNA". Rfam says of the family: Transfer RNA (tRNA) molecules are approximately 80 nucleotides in length. Their secondary structure includes four short double-helical elements and three loops (D, anti-codon, and T loops). RNAcentral also lists the same sequence under 1 other name. The record is from RNAcentral. Lineage: Duplodnaviria; Heunggongvirae; Uroviricota; Caudoviricetes.